RNAcentral lists this long non-coding RNA (5092 nucleotides) under Ficedula albicollis (Collared flycatcher). Its description in RNAcentral is "lncRNA (ENSFALG00000026275.1)". Lineage: Eukaryota; Metazoa; Chordata; Aves; Passeriformes; Muscicapidae. The record is from RNAcentral.
AUGCUUUUUGGGUAUUUGUGCCUUGGGAGAAGCUCAGCUCCUCCUUGGAGUAACCUGGGACAAAAAAAAAAUCCUGGAGAAGGGGUGGUGGGAAGGGGGUUGGGCAUCCUGGGAUGGGGGGAAAUCCCUGGGAACAAAAAUCAGGCAGGAUCUGUUGGGAAUUUGCUCCUGCUCAGGCUGGGAGUGAAAAAAUCCUCCUGGGAAAAGGAAAAUCCAUCCUGGGAGGAGAGAAAUCCUCCUGGGAAAAGGAAAAUCCAUCCUGGGAGGAGGGAAAUCCGUAAUGGAAAAAAGGAAAAACGUUUUUGGGAGGAGAGAAAUCCUCCUGGGAAAAGGAAAAUCCAUCCUGGGAGGAGAGAAAUCCUCCUGGGAAAAGGAAAAUCCAUCCUGGGAGGAGGGAAAUCCGUAAUGGAAAAAAGGAAAAACGUUUUUGGGAGGAGAGAAAUCCUCCUGGGAAAAGGAAAAACUCUUUUGGGAAGAGGGAAAUCUUCUAUGGGAAAAGGAAAAUCCAUCCUGGGAGGAGGGGAAAUCAUUUAUGGGAAAAGGAAAAAAUGUUUUUGGGAGGAGAGAAAUCCUCCUGGGAAAAGGAAAAUCCAUCCUGGGAGGAGAGAAAUCCUUUAUGGGAAAAGGAAAAUCCAUUCAGGGAAGAGGAAAAUUCAUCCUGAGAGGGGGAAGAUCCUUCUGAGAGGAGGAAAAUUCUGGGAGGAGGAAAAUCUUUCUGGGAUGACAAAAAUCCGUUCAGGGAGGAGAAAAAUUCAUCCUGGGAGGAGGAAAAUACAUCCAGGGAAGAGAAAAAUCAAUUCAGGGAGGAGGAAAAUCCUUCUGGGAAAAGGAAAAUUCAUUCAGGGAGGAGGAAAAUCCUUUCAGGGAGGAGGAAAAUGCAUCCUGGGAGGGGAAAAAUCCAUCCUGGGAGGGAAAAAAUCCAUCCUGGGAGGGAAAAAAUCCGUCCUGGGAAGACAAAAAUCUGUCCUGGGAAGACAAAAAUCAAUUCAGGGAGGAGGAAAGUCCUUCUGGAAAGAAGAAAAUUCAUUCAGGGAGGAGGAAAAUUCGUCCUGAGAGAGGGAAAAUCUUUCUGGGAAGAGGAAAAUCUAUUCAGGGAGGGGGAAAAUCCUUCUGGGAGGAGGAAAAUUCAUCCAGGGAGGAGGAAAAUCCGUCCUGGGAAGACAAAAAUCUCUUCAGGGAGGAGGAAAAUUCUUCUGGGAGAAGGAAAAUCCAUCCUGUGAGGAGGAGGAGGAAAAUUCUGGGAGGAGGAAAAUCUUUCUGGGAUGACAAAAAUCCAUUCAGGGAGGAGAAAAAUUCAUCCUUGGAGGAGGAAAAUACAUCCAGGGAAGAGAAAAAUCUAUUCAGGGAGGAGGAAAAUCCUUCUGGGAGGGGGAAAAUUCAUCCAGGGAGGAGAAAAAUCCAUCCUGGGAAGACAAAAAUCUCUUCAGGGAGGAGGAAAAUUCUUCUGGGAGAAGGAAAAUCCAUCCUGUGAGGAGGAGGAGGAAAAUUCUGGGAGGAGGAAAAUCUUUCUGGGAUGACAAAAAUCCAUUCAGGGAGGAGAAAAAUUCAUCCUUGGAGGAGGAAAAUACAUCCAGGGAAGAGAAAAAUCAAUUCAGGGAGGAGGAAAAUCCUUCUGGGAAAAGGAAAAUCCAUCCUGGGAGGGGAAAAAUCCGUCCUGGGAGGGGAAAAAUCCAUCCUGGGUAGACAAAAAUCCGUCCUGGGAAGACAAAAAUCAAUUCAGGGAGGAGGAAAGUCCUUCUGGAAAGAGGAAAAUUCAUUCAGGGAGGAGGAAAAUUCGUCCUGAGAGAGGGAAAAUCUUUCUGGAAAGAGGAAAACUCAUUCAGGGAGGAGGAAAAUGCAUCCUUGGUGGGGAAAAAUCCAUCCUGGGAAGACAAAAAAUCCAUCCUGGGAAGACAAAAAUCAAUUCAGGGAGGAGGAACGUCCUUCUGGAAAGAGGAAAAUUCUUUCAGGGAGGAGGAAAAUUCAUCCUGAGAGGGGGAAAAUCCUUCUGGGAGGGGGAAAAUUCAUCCAGGGGGGAGAAAAAUCUGUCCUGGGAAGACAAAAAUUCGUUCAGGGAGGAGGAAAAUUCUUCUGGAAGAAGGAAAAUCCAUCCUGUGAGGAGGAGGAGGAAAAUUCUGGGAGGAGGAAAAUCUUUCUGGGAUGACAAAAAUCCAUUCAGGGAGGAGAAAAAUUCAUCCUUGGAGGAGGAAAAUACAUCCAGGGAAGAGAAAAAUCAAUUCAGGGAGGAGGAAAAUCCUUCUGGGAAAAGGAAAAUUCAUUCAGGGAGGAGGAAAAUCCUUUCAGGGAGGAGGAAAAUGCAUCCUGGGAGGGGAAAAAUCCAUCCUGGGAGGGAAAAAAUCCAUCCUGGGAAGACAAAAAUCCAUCCUGAGAAGACAAAAAUCAAUUCAGGGAGGAGGAAAGUCCUUCUGGAAAGAAGAAAAUUCAUUCAGGGAGGAGGAAAAUUCGUCCUGAGAGAGGGAAAAUCUUUCUGGGAAGAGGAAAAUCUAUUCAGGGAGGGGGAAAAUCCUUCUGGGAGGAGGAAAAUUCAUCCAGGGAGGAGGAAAAUCCGUCCUGGGAAGACAAAAAUCUCUUCAGGGAGGAGGAAAAUUCUUCUGGGAGAAGGAAAAUCCAUCCUGUGAGGAGGAGGAGGAAAAUUCUGGGAGGAGGAAAAUCUUUCUGGGAUGACAAAAAUCCAUUCAGGGAGGAGAAAAAUUCAUCCUUGGAGGAGGAAAAUACAUCCAGGGAAGAGAAAAAUCAAUUCAGGGAGGAGGAAAAUCCUUCUGGGAAAAGGAAAAUCCAUCCUGGGAGGGGAAAAAUCCGUCCUGGGAGGGGAAAAAUCCAUCCUGGGUAGACAAAAAUCCGUCCUGGGAAGACAAAAAUCAAUUCAGGGAGGAGGAAAGUCCUUCUGGAAAGAAGAAAAUUCAUUCAGGGAGGAGGAAAAUUCGUCCUGAGAGAGGGAAAAUCUUUCUGGGAAGAGGAAAAUCUAUUCAGGGAGGGGGAAAAUCCUUCUGGGAGGAGGAAAAUUCAUCCAGGGAGGAGGAAAAUCCGUCCUGGGAAGACAAAAAUCUCUUCAGGGAGGAGGAAAAUUCUUCUGGGAGAAGGAAAAUCCAUCCUGUGAGGAGGAGGAGGAAAAUUCUGGGAGGAGGAAAAUCUUUCUGGGAUGACAAAAAUCCAUUCAGGGAGGAGAAAAAUUCAUCCUUGGAGGAGGAAAAUACAUCCAGGGAAGAGAAAAAUCAAUUCAGGGAGGAGGAAAAUCCUUCUGGGAAAAGGAAAAUCCAUCCUGGGAGGGGAAAAAUCCGUCCUGGGAGGGGAAAAAUCCAUCCUGGGUAGACAAAAAUCCGUCCUGGGAAGACAAAAAUCAAUUCAGGGAGGAGGAAAGUCCUUCUGGAAAGAGGAAAAUUCAUUCAGGGAGGAGGAAAAUUCGUCCUGAGAGAGGGAAAAUCUUUCUGGGAAGAGGAAAAUCUAUUCAGGGAGGGGGAAAAUCCUUCUGGGAGGAGGAAAAUUCAUCCAGGGAGGAGGAAAAUCCGUCCUGGGAAGACAAAAAUCUCUUCAGGGAGGAGGAAAAUUCUUCUGGGAGAAGGAAAAUCCAUCCUGUGAGGAGGAGGAGGAAAAUUCUGGGAGGAGGAAAAUCUUUCUGGGAUGACAAAAAUCCAUUCAGGGAGGAGAAAAAUUCAUCCUUGGAGGAGGAAAAUACAUCCAGGGAAGAGAAAAAUCAAUUCAGGGAGGAGGAAAAUCCUUCUGGGAAAAGGAAAAUCCAUCCUGGGAGGGGAAAAAUCCGUCCUGGGAGGGGAAAAAUCCAUCCUGGGUAGACAAAAAUCCGUCCUGGGAAGACAAAAAUCAAUUCAGGGAGGAGGAAAGUCCUUCUGGAAAGAGGAAAAUUCAUUCAGGGAGGAGGAAAAUUCGUCCUGAGAGAGGGAAAAUCUUUCUGGGAAGAGGAAAAUCUAUUCAGGGAGGGGGAAAAUCCUUCUGGGAGGAGGAAAAUUCAUCCAGGGAGGAGGAAAAUCCGUCCUGGGAAGACAAAAAUCUCUUCAGGGAGGAGGAAAAUUCUUCUGGGAGAAGGAAAAUCCAUCCUGUGAGGAGGAGGAGGAGUCCUGGGAAGACAAAAAUCCGUUCCGGGAGGAGGAAAAUGCAUUUUGGGCGGAGUUUUCCCGCCCGGCAGCUCCUCCUGGGGCUCCUCUAGGAGCCGCUGCAGAGUUUCGGAUCUUUCCCGGCCGGGAAUUCCCAACCAAAGUCACCGACUGCGGCUCCUGCGGCAGCAAAAAUUCCCAGAUUCCCGAAUAAUCGGCGAUUUUCCUCCCCUGGAACAAGCAGGCGGGGAGGGAGCUGCUCUUUGCUGAGUUUUCUUUUAAAUUCCCUGCGGGGUUUGAAAGAAAAACCCUCAGGAAAUGCUGGAGCUGCUUUGGAUUUCCCCUUUUCUGGAAUAAACAAAUGGGGAAAAUCCCAUUUAUUGGAGCGGUUUCUGCCCCGGUGCUGGUGCUGAGCGGGGAAUAAUUCCCUGGAAAUUGAAUUUCCUGGGAUUCGGUCGGAGGGAUUCAGCUCUCCCUGAGGCAAAGGAGACCCCAAGGUGGGAUGAAAACGGGAUACUUCGCCAAAAUAUUGGAAUUAUUAAUUAUCCACCGUGGAGUGAGCGUUUCAGCUCCAAAUUGAGGAUUUCUGGGUUUCCCGGGGAUUCCUGGUGCCCCGAGCAGCCCGUUCUGUUCCAUGGAUGCUCCUAAAGCCGCUCCGGUGCUGCAGGGACUCCUCACCUCCUCCGCGAUUUUGGGGUGGUUGUGGCCAAAUUUGGGGUUUUUGGUCUGUGCCGGUGUUCACCGGGAAUGGGAUCCAGUCCUGGGGUUGGGAUCAGUCCUGGGAUCGGGAUCAGUCCUGGGAUCGGGAUCAGUCCUGGGAUUGGGAUCCCAUUCUAGGACAGGAUCCAAGUUUUUGGGAAUGGGAUCCUGUCCAGGGAAUGUGAUCCAGUCCUGGAAAGGAACCAAAUCCUGGGAAUGGGAUCCAGUCCUGGGAAUGGGAUCCUGUUCCUUGGAGAGGAUCCAAGUUUUGGGAAUGGGAUCCUAUCCAGGGAAUGGGAUCCUGUCCUGGGAAUGGGAUCCUGUCCUGGAGAUGGGAUCCUGUUCCU